CAAUAGCGUAUAUUAAAGUUGUUGCGGUUAAAAAGCUCGUAGUUGGAUUUCUGCCGAGGACGACCGGUCCGCCCUCCGGGUGAGUAUCUGGUUUGGCCUGGGCAUCUUCUUGGAGAACGUAGCUGCACUUGACUGUGUGGUGCGGUGUCCAGGACUUUUACUUUGAGGAAAUUAGAGUGUUUCAAGCAGGCACACGCCUUGAAUACAUUAGCAUGGAAUAAUAAGAUAGGACCUCGGUUCUAUUUUGUUGGUUUCUAGAGCUGAGGUAAUGAUUAAUAGGGAUAGUUGGGGGCAUUCGUAUUUAACUGUCAGAGUUGAAAUUCUUGGAUUUGUUAAAGACGGACUACUGCGAAAGCAUUUGCCAAGGAUGUUUUCAUUGA
RNAcentral lists this ribosomal RNA (380 nucleotides) under uncultured eukaryote. RNAcentral describes it as "partial 18S ribosomal RNA". It matches the Rfam family "Eukaryotic small subunit ribosomal RNA", at positions 592 to 976 of the family's 1831-position model. The record is from RNAcentral.